Molecule: long non-coding RNA, 401 nt
Organism: Homo sapiens (human)
Lineage: Eukaryota; Metazoa; Chordata; Mammalia; Primates; Hominidae
Exons: 2
Source: RefSeq, a predicted model, not a curated record
AGACUCAAUGUCUGUGAAUGCAAAGGAGACAGGAGGGACGCCACUCAGUCCUUUGUCCUUCCACCCACGCCUGCUCUUAGUUCUUCACCUGCAGCACGGUGGCCCGGUGACCAGCAAGAGCUGGUGUGCUCCUGAAGCCCAGGCAGGAAGAAGGAGCCUGCGUGUUCAGAGUCAAGAACACCACGCGGUAAUGGUAGAGAGACCCUGGAGGUCAGAGGCCUAGACUCCCACCGCCACCUGACCCUGGAGGAAGCAGACUCCUGGAGAUGCAAAGGAUACAGCACAGAGCUGCCAAGACCCGGUGAGUGGGGGCCAGAGCUACAAGACAGAAGGAGCGCAUGGCCUGGACUCUGCAAUGAACUGCUCCAGCAAGGAAUAAACAUCUAUUGUAUUGAGCCAUA